RNAcentral lists this small RNA (27 nucleotides) under Bombyx mori (domestic silkworm). RNAcentral describes it as "piRNA piR-bmo-1936950". Lineage: Eukaryota; Metazoa; Arthropoda; Insecta; Lepidoptera; Bombycidae. The record is from RNAcentral.
UAUAUAAUUUCCUACCGACUGGUGUGC